Non-coding RNA from Nematostella vectensis (starlet sea anemone), 221 nucleotides. The record is from Rfam. Lineage: Eukaryota; Metazoa; Cnidaria; Anthozoa; Actiniaria; Edwardsiidae.
CCUCUAGUCUGACUCUGUGAAAAGACAUGAGAGGUGUAGAAUAAGUGGGAGUAGCAAUACGUCGGUGAAAUACCACUACUCUUAUCGUUUUUUUACUUAUUCGAUGAAGCGGAAGCGAACCGCAAGGUUCACGUUCUGGAUUUAAGGUCUCUCUCUUGCAGACCGAUCCGUGUCGAAGACACUGUCAGGUUGGGAGUUUGGCUGGGGCGGCACAUCUGUCA